AUUGAACGCUGGCGGCAGGCUUAACACAUGCAAGUCGAACGAGUGGCGGACGGGUGAGUCAUGCUUGGGAAUCUAGCUUAUGGAGGGGGAUAACUACGGGAAACUGUAGCUUAUACCGCGUACCAUAGGCUGAGCCUAAGUGGGAUUAGGUAGUUUGUGAGGUAAAGGCUCAUCAAGCCGACGACCUCUAGCUGGUCUGAGAGGUUGACCGGCCACACUGGCACUGAGACACGGCCCAGACUCCUACGGGAGGCAGCAGUGGGGAAUAUUGCGCAAGGGGGGCAAACUGACGCAGCCAUGCCGCGUGAAUGAAGAAGGCCUUCGAGUUGUAAAGUACUUUCGGUAGCGAGGCGUUAACUACAGAAGAAAAACCGGCUAACUCCGUGCCAGCAGCCGCGGUAAUUC
This 405-nucleotide ribosomal RNA is filed under the name uncultured bacterium. RNAcentral describes it as "partial 16S ribosomal RNA". It matches the Rfam family "Bacterial small subunit ribosomal RNA", at positions 30 to 526 of the family's 1533-position model. The record is from RNAcentral.